This 468-nucleotide ribosomal RNA is filed under the name uncultured bacterium. RNAcentral describes it as "partial 16S ribosomal RNA". It matches the Rfam family "Bacterial small subunit ribosomal RNA", at positions 28 to 507 of the family's 1533-position model. The record is from RNAcentral.
GACGAACGCUGGCGGCGUGCUUAACACAUGCAAGUCGACCGGAAAGACCCUGCUUUUGUGGGGUGCUCGAGUGGCGAACGGGUGAGUAACACGUGAGUAACCUGCCCUUGACUUUGGGAUAACUUCAGGAAACUGGGGCUAAUACCGGCUAGGUGCUCCUGCUGCAUGGUGGGGGUUGGACAGUUUCGGCGGUUGGGGCUGGACUCGCGGGUUAUCAGCUUGUUGGUGGGGUAGUGGCUUACCAAGGCUUUGACGGGUAGCCGGCCUGAGAGGGUGACCGGCCACAUUGGGACUGAGAGACGGCCCAGACUCCUACGGGAGGCAGCAGUGGGGAAUAUUGCACAAUGGGCGGAAGCCUGAUGCAGCAACGCCGCGUGCGGGAUGACGGCCUUCGGGUUGUAAACCGCUUUCGCCUGUGACGAAGCGUGAGUGACGGUAAUGGGUAAAGAAGCACCGGCUAACUACGUG